Molecule: non-coding RNA, 173 nt
Filed under: Pseudomonas putida
Lineage: Bacteria; Pseudomonadati; Pseudomonadota; Gammaproteobacteria; Pseudomonadales; Pseudomonadaceae
Source: RNAcentral
GUCGGCGUCGUGACCAUCCAGCCCCAAGCCUUCACCCUGACCUCGGAAUUGCCGGGGCGUACCACUGCCUACCGCGUCGCCGAGGUGCGCCCGCAGGUCAACGGCAUCAUCCUCAAGCGCCUGUUCAAGGAAGGCAGCGACGUCAAGGAAGGCCAGCAGCUGUACCAGAUCGA